Molecule: ribosomal RNA, 301 nt
Filed under: uncultured bacterium
Lineage: Bacteria
Description: partial 16S ribosomal RNA
Rfam family: Bacterial small subunit ribosomal RNA
Source: RNAcentral
CAGUCGCCACGGUAAUACGGAGGGUGCAAGCGUUAAUCGGAAUUACUGGGCGUAAAGCGCACGCAGGCGGUCUGACAAGUCAGAUGUGAAAUCCCCGGGCUUAACCUGGGAACUGCAUUUGAAACUGUCAGGCUGGAGUCUCGUAGAGGGGGGUAGAAUUCCAGGUGUAGCGGUGAAAUGCGUAGAGAUCUGGAGGAAUACCGGUGGCGAAGGCGGCCCCCUGGACAAAGACUGACGCUCAGGUGCGAAAGCGUGGGGAGCAAACAGGAUUAGAUACCCGAGUAGUCCCUGUCUCUUAUAC